RNAcentral lists this ribosomal RNA (497 nucleotides) under uncultured bacterium. RNAcentral describes it as "partial 16S ribosomal RNA". It matches the Rfam family "Bacterial small subunit ribosomal RNA", at positions 28 to 507 of the family's 1533-position model. The record is from RNAcentral.
GAUGAACGCUGGCGGCGUGCCUAAUACAUGCAAGUCGAGCGAACGGACGAGAAGCUUGCUUCUCUGAUGUUAGCGGCGGACGGGUGAGUAACACGUGGAUAACCUACCUAUAAGACUGGGAUAACUUCGGGAAACCGGCGCUAAUACCGGAUAAUAUUUUGAACCGCAUGGUUCAAAAGUGAAAGACGGUCUUGCUGUCACUUAUAGAUGGAUCCGCGCUGCAUUAGCUAGUUGGUAAGGUAACGGCUUACCAAGGCAACGAUGCAUAGCCGACCUGAGAGGGUGAUCGGCCACACUGGAACUGAGACACGGUCCAGACUACUAAGGGAGGCAGCAGUAGGGAAUCUUCCGCAAUGGGCGAAAGCCUGACGGAGCAACGCCGCGUGAGUGAUGAAGGUCUUCGGAUCGUAAAACUCUGUUAUUAGGGAAGAACAUAUGUGUAAGUAACUGUGCACAUCUUGACGGUACCUAAUCAGAAAGCCACGGCUAACUACGUG